AUCGCUUCUUGGACUUUUGGCUAAGAUCAAGUGUAGUAUCUGUUCUUAUCAGUAUAUUUAAGAUUUUUUUUUUCUAUUUAAG
This 82-nucleotide small nuclear RNA is filed under the name Canis lupus familiaris (dog). Its description in RNAcentral is "U2 spliceosomal RNA (ENSCAFG00000041400.2, ENSCAFG00805029131.1)". It matches the Rfam family "U2 spliceosomal RNA", at positions 1 to 116 of the family's 192-position model. From Rfam's summary of the family: U2 is a small nuclear RNA (snRNA) component of the spliceosome (involved in pre-mRNA splicing). Complementary binding between U2 snRNA (in an area lying towards the 5' end but 3' to hairpin I) and the branchpoint sequence (BPS) of the intron results the bulging out of an unpaired adenosine, on the BPS, which initiates a nucleophilic attack at the intronic 5' splice site, thus starting the first of two transesterification reactions that mediate splicing. Lineage: Eukaryota; Metazoa; Chordata; Mammalia; Carnivora; Canidae. The record is from RNAcentral.